ACGCUGGCGGCAGGCCUAACACAUGCAAGUCGAACGGUAACAGGAAGAAGCUUGCUUCUUUGCUGACGAGUGGCGGACGGGUGAGUAAUGUCUGGGAAACUGCCUGAUGGAGGGGGAUAACUACUGGAAACGGUAGCUAAUACCGCAUAACGUCGCAAGACCAAAGAGGGGGACCUUCGGGCCUCUUGCCAUCGGAUGUGCCCAGAUGGGAUUAGCUUGUUGGUGGGGUAACGGCUCACCAAGGCGACGAUCCCUAGCUGGUCUGAGAGGAUGACCAGCCACACUGGAACUGAGACACGGUCCAGACUCCUACGGGAGGCAGCAGUGGGGAAUAUUGCACAAUGGGCGCAAGCCUGAUGCAGCCAUGCCGCGUGUAUGAAGAAGGCCUUCGGGUUGUAAAGUACUUUCAGCGGGGAGGAAGGGAGUAAAGUUAAUACCUUUGCUCAUUGACGUUACCCGCAGAAGAAGCACCGGCUAACUUCGUGCCAGCAGCCGCGGUAAUACGGAGGGUGCAAGCGUUAAUCGGAAUUACUGGGCGUAAAGCGCACGCAGGCGGUUUGUUAAGUCAGAUGUGAAAUCCCCGGGCUCAACCUGGGAACUGCAUCUGAUACUGGCAAGCUUGAGUCUCGUAGAGGGGGGUAGAAUUCCAGGUGUAGCGGUGAAAUGCGUAGAGAUCUGGAGGAAUACCGGUGGCGAAGGCGGCCCCCUGGACGAAGACUGACGCUCAGGUGCGAAAGCGUGGGGGGCAAACAGGAUUAGAUACCCUGGUAGUCCACGCCGUAAACGAUGUCGACUUGGAGGUUGUGCCCUUGAGGCGUGGCUUCCGGAGCUAACGCGUUAAGUCGACCGCCUGGGGAGUACGGCCGCAAGGUUAAAACUCAAAUGAAUUGACGGGGGCCCGCACAAGCGGUGGAGCAUGUGGUUUAAUUCGAUGCAACGCGAAGAACCUUACCUGGUCUUGACAUCCACAGAACUUUCCAGAGAUGGAUUGGUGCCUUCGGGAACUGUGAGACAGGUGCUGCAUGGCUGUCGUCAGCUCGUGUUGUGAAAUGUUGGGUUAAGUCCCGCAACGAGCGCAACCCUUAUCCUUUGUUGCCAGCGGUCCGGCCGGGAACUCAAAGGAGACUGCCAGUGAUAAACUGGAGGAAGGUGGGGAUGACGUCAAGUCAUCAUGGCCCUUACGACCAGGGCUACACACGUGCUACAAUGGCGCAUACAAAGAGAAGCGACCUCGCGAGAGCAAGCGGACCUCAUAAAGUGCGUCGUAGUCCGGAUUGGAGUCUGCAACUCGACUCCAUGAAGUCGGAAUCGCUAGUAAUCGUGGAUCAGAAUGCCACGGUGAAUACGUUCCCGGGCCUUGUACACACCGCCCGUCACACCAUGGGAGUGGGUUGCAAAAGAAGUAGGUAGCUUAACCUUCGGGAGGGCGCUUACCACUUUGUGAUUCAUGACUGAG
RNAcentral lists this ribosomal RNA (1456 nucleotides) under uncultured organism. RNAcentral describes it as "SSU rRNA". It matches the Rfam family "Bacterial small subunit ribosomal RNA". The record is from RNAcentral.